AUACGUAGGGGGCAAGCGUUAUCCGGAUUUACUGGGUGUAAAGGGAGCGUAGACGGUAAAGCAAGUCUGAAGUGAAAGCUCGGGGCUCAACCCCGGAACUGCUUUGGAAACUGUUUUACUGGAGUGCAGGAGAGGUAAGCGGAAUUUCUAGUGUAGCGGUGAAAUGCGUAGAUAUUAGGAGGAACACCAGAGGCGAAGGCGGCUUACUGGACUGUAACUGACGUGGAGGCUCGAAGGCGUGGGGAGCAAACAGGAUUAGAUACCCUGGUAGUCCACGCGGUAAACGAUGAUCACUAGGUGUCGGCGGCCAUAGGCGGUCGGUGCCGCAGCAAACGCAAUAAGUUAUCCACCUGGGGAGUACGGUCGCAAGAAUGAAACUCAAAUGAAUUGGCGGGG
Molecule: ribosomal RNA, 396 nt
Filed under: uncultured bacterium
Lineage: Bacteria
Description: partial 16S ribosomal RNA
Rfam family: Bacterial small subunit ribosomal RNA
Source: RNAcentral